Long non-coding RNA from Anguilla rostrata (American eel), 486 nucleotides. RefSeq lists it as uncharacterized. The transcript has 3 exons. NCBI's taxonomy places the organism in Eukaryota, Metazoa, Chordata, Actinopteri, Anguilliformes, Anguillidae. The record is from RefSeq and is a predicted model, not a curated record.
UCGUCAGCGGCACGGAAUUCGCUGAUCAGCUCCUCGUUCUCGUUGGCGAUGCGGGUCAGGUCCUGCUCCAUUUUCCGCUUUAUGACAGUCAAGCUGUGGUUCUGAUGGAGGAAGAAUACAGUCGGACUCAACAGCUCGGACACAGCGCCCAGGAGCGCGUACCUGCACGUGAAGUUCGUUGUGGCGCUCGGUGAUUUCCACCAGCUCCUGCUCGAUGAGCUUGCGGGAGCGCUCGGAGGCCUCCAGCCCGCUGCGCACCUCGUCCAGCUCCGUCUGCAGGAGGCUGAGGCGCCGUUCCUGCAGGCUGUAUUGCUCCCUCAGCUCCUCAAACUGACGGGCAUCCUCAUCCAUCUGCACCUGCAUGUCCUGCCGGCCAGGAUGGGGGUGAAAAAUGCUGACUGUCCCUCUCUACCUUGAUCUGCUGCUGGAGUCUCUUGAGAGUCUUGACCAGCUCGCUGUUAUUCUUGUUGGCAUGGUCCAGUUGGA